Molecule: ribosomal RNA, 451 nt
Filed under: uncultured bacterium
Lineage: Bacteria
Description: partial 16S ribosomal RNA
Rfam family: Bacterial small subunit ribosomal RNA
Source: RNAcentral
AACGAACGCUGGCGGCAGGCUUAACACAUGCAAGUCGAACGGGCGUAGCAAUACGUCAGUGGCAGACGGGUGAGUAACACGUGGGAAUAUCCCUUUCUGCUCGGAAUAACUCAGGGAAACUUGAGCUAAUACCGAAUACGUCCUUCGGGAGAAAGAUUUAUCACUGAGAGAUUAGCCCGCGUCUGAUUAGCUAGUUGGUGAGGUAAUGGCUCACCAAGGCGACGAUCAGUAGCUGGUCUGAGAGGAUGAUCAGCCACACUGGGACUGAGACACGGCCCAGACUCCUACGGGAGGCAGCAGUGGGGAAUAUUGGACAAUGGGGGCAACCCUGAUCCAGCCAUGCCGCGUGAGUGAUGAAGGCCUUAGGGUUGUAAAGCUCUUUUGCUAGGGAAGAUAAUGACUGUACCUAGAGAAUAAGCCCCGGCUAACUUCGUGCCAGCCGCCGCGGUAA